This 905-nucleotide long non-coding RNA is filed under the name Sinocyclocheilus grahami. RNAcentral describes it as "lncRNA (ENSSGRG00000005585.1)". Lineage: Eukaryota; Metazoa; Chordata; Actinopteri; Cypriniformes; Cyprinidae. The record is from RNAcentral.
GCACAAUAUUGUUAUUAUAUUAUUGUAACAUCUCUUAUAUUCUGUAGAUUCCAAAUGUUUAGAAGUAGCAGAAGUACUGCUGGGCCUACCUGCAGACGAAAGAGAAGACAAGUCACGCAAACACGCAAUGUGACUUUCAGAAUGAUUCUGUUAAAAAAACAUGUUGAGCGAUAUACAUCACAUACUGAUGGAAGUCCACAAUGCAAAAUCAUCAUCCCAUUACACCUAAAUGAAAUUGAAUUUAGGGAGGUGCUGAGAGAAAAAUUCCCUGACCUCCCAGACAGAUUUGAAUUUUGCAAAGUAGCCGGAAACCGAAAGGUGAUACCAAUUCAGCUGUCAGUCUUGUGCCCAGCUGAAAUUAAAGCAAGCAAUGUGCUGGGGCGGUCAGCUCUAUACAUUAGACCACUGGACAUUCCAAGCCAAACCACUUCGGGUGCCCAUAGUCAUUCAAAUCCGGAGGCAACUGAAUCAUCUCCAUCUAUUUCCCUAAACCCAGCUGCAUCUCCAGAGCAAAACCAUACAUUUGUGUCAAGCCCCUCAACUUCCACAACAGUACAUAACAUGUCUUCACCCGCUCAAAGCCCCUCUGAAGUUGAUCAUUAUCAACGAAGACAUGGCAGAUUUUUUGAGGAAUCAAGGGAGACUGACAGUAAUUCUGAGGAUUUAGAGAUUGACAUGCUGGCUUCACCUCCAAGACACUGCAGUCCUGAUUUGCACAAAUACCUUGUGGAUAUUUUGGAGGAAUUCAGGAGGGACAAUUUAGACCUGACCACCCAUGUCACUGUCGUGGCCCGCCGAAGAAGAGUAUUACCUAGUGCGUGUGUUGCUCUUCAUAAAUCCUACUUUGAAUGGCAUAAAAUACCAAACAUUGAAUUUGUUGGUGAGAUGGCGGAAGAUUAUGGAGG